GAUGAAGAACGCAGCGAAAUGCGAUACGUAAUGUGAAUUGCAAAUUCAGUGAAUCAUCGAGUCUUUGAACGCACAUUGCGCCCCCUGGUAUUCCGGGGGGCAUGCCUGUCCGAGCGUCAUUGCUGCCCUCAAGCACGGCUUGUGUGUUGGGCCCCGUCCUCCGAUCCCGGGGGACGGGCCCGAAAGGCAGCGGCGGCACCGCGUCCGGUCCUCGAGCGUAUGGGGCUUUGUCACCCGCUCUGUAGNNNCGGCCGGCGCUUGCCGAUCAACCCAAAUUUUUAUCCAGGUUGACCUCGGAUCAGGUAGGGAUACCCGCUGAACUUAAGCAUAUCAAUAAGCGGAGGA
This 345-nucleotide unclassified non-coding RNA is filed under the name soil metagenome. RNAcentral describes it as "partial contains 5.8S ribosomal RNA, internal transcribed spacer 2, and large subunit ribosomal RNA". The stretch from base 1 to 119 matches the Rfam family "5.8S ribosomal RNA", at positions 35 to 154 of the family's 154-position model. The record is from RNAcentral.